This 253-nucleotide ribosomal RNA is filed under the name uncultured bacterium. RNAcentral's name for it is "partial 16S ribosomal RNA". It matches the Rfam family "Bacterial small subunit ribosomal RNA", at positions 524 to 776 of the family's 1533-position model. The record is from RNAcentral.
UACGGGGGGGGCAAGCGUUGUUCGGAAUUACUGGGCGUAAAGAGCUCGUAGGUGGUUUGUCGCGUUGUUCGUGAAAACCGGGGGCUUAACCCUCGGCGUGCGGGCGAUACGGGCAGACUUGAGUACUGCAGGGGAGACUGGAAUUCCUGGUGUAGCGGUGGAAUGCGCAGAUAUCAGGAGGAACACCGGUGGCGAAGGCGGGUCUCUGGGCAGUAACUGACGCUGAGGAGCGAAAGCGUGGGGAGCGAACAGG